UGCAAUAUGCAAUUAUGGAAAUGGCAAAAGGAUCAUAUCUUGUGCAACACUACAAGAAAAUGGAUAGGGAGCGUCGUGUGAUGUGGAUUCCAGAAGAUGAGCAAAUUCAUUGCUCAUGCAAGGAAUUUGAACAUUCCGGCAUAUUGUGCAGACACUCACUUCGGGUACUAGUGGUCAAAAAUUACUUUCAAGUACCAGAAAAAUAUUUUCUACUUCGCUGGCGUCUUGAGAGCUCCUUAGUUCCUAUGGAUAAUCAAAAUGCUCAAAGCAUCAGUGAUGAGUGUUCUCAAGCCUUCCAUUCACUUGCUGCCACUUUAUUAACGGAAUCUCUGAUGUCAAAGGAGCGUUUUAGUUUUGUUCAUAGAGAACUUACUGGGCUUCUGAAUAAUGUUAGAAAUAUGCCUGUGACUGAUGAGUUUGCUUUGGGUUUGGCAGCUAACACUUUGAGUGAAUCUUAGGUUUGGUGAUGGCAAAUUUUGGUAUUAUUGGUUCUUUAGGGAACAUGUUCAUUCAAGGACCUUGGGCCUUCUAGAAGAUGACUUGAGAUGUUGAAGGCAAUGAAAAGAAAAGUAGCUACUCAAUUAACAAUCUUGCCCUUUCUGAACAUGGAGGAGCACUAGAGAGGCAUUGUGUGAGGAAGCUUCCAGGGAUGUGCUGUGCGAGGAAAGAUCGACAAUAAGGACAACAGAGACGCCGGUGGGUGAUUAAGGAAGCAGGUGAUCACGUGUGCUCAGGCUUCUGUGCAUCUCCAUCAACUUCCUCGCGCAACACCUCUCCACCAGCUUCCUCGCGCAACGCAGUCUCCUCAAACUUCUCUUUCCUCAUUAACUUCCUCGUGCAUGUCAUCCCGCUUCUUUCUAAUUUCAUCAUUAUUAUUGAAGACAAGUAUUGAGAGAAUAAGAGCUAAAACAAGAAAUUUGAAUUUGUACUCUAAUUAUACAUGUUCUCCAGAAAGUUCA
Carica papaya (papaya) is the source of this 959-nucleotide non-coding RNA. The record is from RefSeq and is a predicted model, not a curated record. Lineage: Eukaryota; Viridiplantae; Streptophyta; Magnoliopsida; Brassicales; Caricaceae.